ACGCGGGGAGGUGACCGUUGAGCCCAAACAGGCGGCGUCACCAGCCAAUCAAUAUGCUUCCAGACGUUUCAGCGACCAAUUAAUAAGAACGCCUCCGAUCCAGCCAGCGUCCCAUGCUCGGUGGCCCCAGAAAAGUCAGUGUGUAGGCCUCAGCCACUUCAGGUCCGGCGUACAUUCUCCCUGGACACCAUCCUCAGCUCCUACCUUCUGGGCCAGUGGCCACGAGAUGCUGAUGGGGCCUUCACCUGCUGCACCAAUGACAAGGCCACCCAGGCUGGAGUGCAGUGGUGCGAUCUUGGCUCACUGCAACCUCUGCCUCCCGGGUUCAAGUGAUUCUCGUGCCUCAUCCUCCCAAGUGGCUGGGAUUACAGACGCCCCUGUCCUGGCAAGAGCUAGAAGGUGAGCGUGCCAGUUCCUGUGCACACAAGCGCUCAGCAUCCUGGGGCAGCACAGACCACCGAAAAGAGAUUUCCAAGUUGAAGCAACAACUGCAGAGGACGAAGCUGAGCCGCAGUGGGAAAGAGAAGGAGCGAGGUUCACCACUCCUAGGGGACCACGCAGUGCGGGGAGCA
RNAcentral lists this long non-coding RNA (572 nucleotides) under Homo sapiens (human). RNAcentral's name for it is "non-protein coding lnc-FAM117A-1:3". Lineage: Eukaryota; Metazoa; Chordata; Mammalia; Primates; Hominidae. The record is from RNAcentral.